UAACGCGAAGAACCUUACCAAGGCUUGACAUACACCGGAAACGGCCAGAGAUGGUCGCCCCCUUGUGGUCGGUGUACAGGUGGUGCAUGGUUGUCGUCAGCUCGUGUCGUGAGAUGUUGGGUUAAGUCCCGCAACGAGCGCAACCCUCGUUUUAUGUUGCCAGCGCGUAAUGGCGGGAACUCAUAGGAGACUGCCGGGGUCAACUCGGAGGAAGGUGGGGAUGACGUCAAAUCAUCAUGCCCCUUAUGUCUUGGGCUUCACGCAUGCUACAAUGGCCGGUACAAAGGGCUGCGAUACCGUAAGGUGGAGCGAAUCCCAAAAAGCCGGUCUCAGUUCGGAUUGAGGUCUGCAACUCGACCUCAUGAAGUCGGAGUCGCUAGUAAUCGCAGAUCAGCA
Molecule: ribosomal RNA, 396 nt
Filed under: uncultured bacterium
Lineage: Bacteria
Description: bacterial SSU rRNA
Rfam family: Bacterial small subunit ribosomal RNA
Source: RNAcentral